RNAcentral lists this transfer RNA (51 nucleotides) under Tetranychus malaysiensis. RNAcentral's name for it is "tRNA-Ala". The record is from RNAcentral. Lineage: Eukaryota; Metazoa; Arthropoda; Arachnida; Trombidiformes; Tetranychidae.
UUUUAAGUUUAUUUAAAAAAUAAUUUUGCAAAUUAUUAUGUUUCUUAAAGU